GAUGAACGCUGGCGGCGUGCUUAACACAUGCAAGUCGAACGGAAAGGCCCAAGCUUGCUUGGGUACUCGAGUGGCGAACGGGUGAGUAACACGUGGGUGAUCUGCCCUGCACUUCGGGAUAAGCCUGGGAAACUGGGUCUAAUACCGGAUAGGACCACGUCUUGGAUGUUGUGGUGGAAAGUUUUUUCGGUGUGGGAUGAGCUCGCGGCCUAUCAGCUUGUUGGUGGGGUAAUGGCCUACCAAGGCGUCGACGGGUAGCCGGCCUGAGAGGGUGUACGGCCACAUUGGGACUGAGAUACGGCCCAGACUCCGACGGGAGGCAGCAGUGGGGAAUAUUGCACAAUGGGCGCAAGCCUGAUGCAGCGACGCCGCGUGGGGGAUGACGGCCUUCGGGUUGUAAACUCCUGUCGCUAGGGACGAAGCGUUUUUGUGACGGUACCUGGAGAAGAAGCACCGGCUAACUACGUG
This 468-nucleotide ribosomal RNA is filed under the name uncultured bacterium. Its description in RNAcentral is "partial 16S ribosomal RNA". It matches the Rfam family "Bacterial small subunit ribosomal RNA", at positions 28 to 507 of the family's 1533-position model. The record is from RNAcentral.